CCAGACUCCUACGGGAGGCAGCAGUGGGGGAUAUUGCACAAUGGGGGGAACCCUGAUGCAGCGACGCCGCGUGAGGGAAGACGGUUUUCGGAUUGUAAACCUCUGUCUUUAGGGACGAAACAAAUGACGGUACCUAAAGAGGAAGCCCCGGCUAACUACGUGCCAGCAGCCGCGGUAAUACGUAGGGGGCAAGCGUUAUCCGGAAUUACUGGGUGUAAAGGGUGAGUAGGCGGCAUGGUAAGCCAGAUGUGAAAGCCUUGGGCUUAACCCGAGGAUUGCAUUUGGAACUAUCAAGCUAGAGUACAGGAGAGGAAAGCGGAAUUCCUAGUGUAGCGGUGAAAUGCGUAGAUAUUAGGAAGAACACCAGUGGCGAAGGCGGCUUUCUGGACUGAAACUGACGCUGAGGCACGAAAGCGUGGGGAGCGAACAGGAUUAGAUACCCGCGUAGA
This 449-nucleotide ribosomal RNA is filed under the name uncultured bacterium. RNAcentral's name for it is "bacterial SSU rRNA". It matches the Rfam family "Bacterial small subunit ribosomal RNA", at positions 331 to 794 of the family's 1533-position model. The record is from RNAcentral.